Molecule: long non-coding RNA, 2694 nt
Filed under: Rattus norvegicus (Norway rat)
Lineage: Eukaryota; Metazoa; Chordata; Mammalia; Rodentia; Muridae
Description: long non-coding RNA NONRATT016414
Source: RNAcentral
UGGCUUCUCUCAUUCUGUGUUUACAAGGACACAGAGUAUUAAUGUUGUCACCCUUCAUCAUUUUCCUGCAUAGCAGCUCAGCUCUGUGAACAGGAGAGUAACCGCAACGUCUGUCACAAUUCUUGCAGGACAGAUCGUGUGAAAGAGACCAGUUUGGUAUUAGUGUGAAUGAUUACAGAGCAAAACUAUUUUUUAUCGCAACUUGGAUUGUUUUCAAAAUGCAGCCUAGAAUUUGAUGUUUGUUUUUAUAUUAAAAAAAACCCUGUAAUUUUGUAACUAUUACAAAGGGUAGCCUAAUGUUUUUGAUAAAUCAGUGGCAACUAUAUUUUUUGUCUUUUGAACCUGUUCUGAAAACGUCAGGCCAACAUAGAUCGCAGCCUGAUGUCACAUGCGUUUUGUAUGCUGCAUUUUGUAUUCUGAGGCAUUAUUAGUUCUGCUUUCAAGAUUUCAAGUGUUUAAAAUAAUCCUAUCUAUGAAACUGAAGAAUGAAGCAGAUCUCUGAUUAGCAUAUACAGAAAGGCCCUUGUCAGGGUAUGUGGUGUAGAUGUGUACUUCUGAAUUCAGUAAAAUUGAUUCCUAAGUAUGCUAGCCCAAUCCCUUUGCUAAGUUGGUAAGAGAAGUAUAAGGUAUGUACUCAAUACCUCGUAUGUAACCAACAUUGUUUUGUUAGCUUAUAGGACUGAGAGUUUCAUGGUCAUCUGGCCGGCAGUCUGCCUGCGCUUGCAAUGAAGUCCUUAGCUGUUUAGUGUUUCAAACUGACGUUAUUUAUAAUCUAUGAAUUUAAUCUCUUUUUUUUUUAUUUUUUGCAAAGACAUCAAGAAUCUGGAAGGCAGCUUUCAGUUGCCAUGAGGGUGGGGGCUUUGUUGGGGAUCUUCAGUGAGAUCCCUUUUGAUCCAUGGGAAUAUGAAUGCACAGAGUACAUUUUGAUCUUGGUGGGAAGAGGCAAGUAGAAAGGUCAGAGACAAAGUCGCAUAGCCAGGGAACAUGGCGGAAAGGCCAGUUGAUGUGAAAUGAAGCAGAUGUGUCAGAACCCCCCAAAAACAAGGCAAGCAAGACGUGUGAGAAAGUGCCUCAAAGAGCAAAGCAACAGUUUUCUCUCAUCGCCUUUAUGCCAAAAGACACUGCAGUUAGGGAGAAGAGGGUUAGGGCGCACUUUACCGGGGAGGGGUAGGAGAGGGAGGGGUUGUGACACUGUCCAUGUAUUGCCAAACGUCUUGACAGACAAAAUCAUGGACUCUUGUGACUUCCAGCACUCUUAAAGUGAUUUCUCUUUUCCUGAAGGAACCCCAAUUUAUGUCCAAGUAAUUCCUUGUUUUCUCUGAGCACUCCGAGAGAGGCGCAAAGAUAUUUAUGUUGCUACUAGGUUGAAAGGGAGCACUCUUUCGUUUCCUCUUUUGUUAGCAAAAGUUGCAAAAAAGAGUUAUACAUUCUUUCUGAGGAAAACCAAAAACAAGCCAAAACACAAGGGACCUAACAAAGCUUGACAGUGUUACUGUAUUUAAAAAUAUUUUUAUAGAUGCAUUUCAGGUUAUUAAGUGUAAAAAAAAAGAUACUUUUUUUUUAAAAAAAAUUAGUUAAAUCAUCUAUGAUUUAUGUUACCAAGUUUUAGAAGCAAUUUUCUAGUAAGCUUGUGGCAUUAUGAAAUACUACAAUAAUUUUCUUAGUAAAUUAGUUUAAACCUUUUUAAUUAAUAUAGUAUUUUUCUAGAAUAAAAUAUGGCCCUUGACUGUUUACUAAUAGAUAAAGCCAGAUAUGAUUGUUGUUUUUUAAGAACAUAAAAUGUGGUUUGUUACAGAACACUAAAGCUAGAAAUCAGACCUUUUUUCCUAGUUCUGAGUGAACCCAAGACUUCAUGUGUGUCAGGCAAGUGCUCCCCAGUGGAGAAUCACCCCAGACCUCAGAGCAGUCUCUUAGUGGUUCUUUGGUAUUAUUAUAAGUAUUAAUAUUUUCUAAGAAUUCAUAAUAAGGUGCUAUUCAUAUACUAUAUCGUACUAUAAGCCAACUAUCAGACAAUCUAGUCUUCUUAGUCCUUAGUCAAUACAUUUUGCCAUGUCAUCUCCAAAUUUUGUCAUAGAAUAGACAAAUUUUUAAAAGUUUGAUUCAAAACACAUUUCUCUUGGUAAGAUACACUUUACUGAAGCAUUUGAAUAGCUAAACAUUCUGUCAUGUGUUAGCAGUAGGUGAUAUUUAGGCCGAGUUUCACUGUAGUAUCCAGGAUGUAAAAUGUAUUCCUGUGAUUGAUUUCUCGGUGUGUGAGAAGCACAUAAAACAGAAUAAGCCUCAGCCUCCUGGGCACUGUUCAGCAGAAAGGAAUCUGCAGAAGGUGACGUGAAUUGAUAGGCAUGUCACGGAGUACUGUGUUCUUAUGAUGUGAUUAGAAGCAACUUCUGAAAGUCCAACUUUCGUGGAACAAAACAAGCCAUUCAGAAAGGAAAACGGUUAAUUCAAAAUGGUGAUUGACGGAGACCCCUUCUGACACUGUAUAUGUGCUAAUACUUUAACUUAAUUUUUUCUUUUCUUUUUUUUAUUUCUACGUUUUACCAAGUGGGACCUGUGUUGUUGAUUUAUAAUCCAGUAUGUUCUACAUACAGGAAAUGUGCGGCCAAAUCCAUCAGAUCAAACCAUUUUAUCUGGAGUUUGGUACAGGUUUUACUUCGCAAUUCUAUAUAAAAAAUAAAUACGAUUGAACUUCAA